AGUGGCUGAGGGCUCUCAGCUGAAGAAUGUAGACUCACUCAAAGUUAUAGUCCCUCCCUGAGGGAAGCCAGCAGCCAGCGAGCAGUUAAAUUGAGGGUAUAAAAGUCAGGCCUUUAUUAUCUCAAAUCAGGGUAGCUUUGAAGGGCUAUCUCAAUUGCAAGUUUCCCUGAGAGAUGACUGCGGCAUUCAUUGCAGUUCCUUGGCUAUUCAAUUUCUCCCUCUGCUUAAUCAUACAUCCUUCACCCCUCACAAGUGUUGUUCCUGAGAGCAGUCUGCAUGAAGCUUCUGCGUGCAAAUGACGCAGUCUCGGAACCAUUUCCUCAUGGAAUCUGACCCACAACAAGCAAGUUUUGAAGUAAGAGCUUUCUAGGCAACUCCAUCUCCUGGAAAAGAAAAUAUCUCUUUACAGUUGAUUCCUGUGUUUAUUAUUCACCAUGGAAAGUAAACAGCUGAAAUGAAAUGACUACAAAAUGAGGUUUCUCUUUAGUCAUCAGAAUGUGGAACACAGCUUUUCUGGGAUUAUCAUUCUGCUAUUGGGGUUUCAGAAGUGGAGCUGCAAUUGUCUUCACUCAGGACACCUGAGCCCCUGCAUUAACAAUCUAAGCAAACUGGAAAAGACAAGAUUCCUCAGGCCUCAAAUCAUUGCAUACGGAGCACCAGAAUCUGCAAGAAUCCCACUGCAGUUCUCUAUCACUUGUAUAGAAAUGCUGACUGAAAAUUCAAGUAAUAAAUUUGAUAAAUUAUGCUGUGGUAUUUACACUAAGCUGUCUUAAUAAGAAACAUAUAUUUUGAGGGACAGGAGCAUGUUUAUCUUUAUUUCGAUCAAUCCACUUUCAGUUAGCUGCAUAUGCUGAUGAGCGGCUUGGACUAAACACACCACCACUCAGAGGAAAGGGAGCUGAAUUGCAGCAGGAGUAAUAAAAACAAUUGAAAAUGAAGGCUGCUAUAGAAGAGGCAAGGACAACUGAUUGGGUAAACAAAACCCCCAAAUCAGUAAAAAAAAAAAAAAAAAAAAAAAAAGAUGAAAGUUGGGCUCAUCAAUGUAAGGCAAUAAUCCCACGUGAGUUAUAAAAGAGAGAAGAAAAAUCUGAGAUGGUUGUGGAUAAAGAUGAAAGACAAGCCCGGACAUCAGACAGCAGCCCAAUAUAAGUGCUGUACUGCCACAAAAUGGUUAGCAGCAGUUCACCGUUCCUAAAAGUGAUGCCCAUACGUAAUUGAGAGAAGGAACAGAAGGAAAGACCUCACUUGUCCCCAAGAAGUUUCUGGAGCCUGUGUGGGUCUACAGUGUAAGAUGACAUAGCUAUCAAAUAAGAGUCUGGAAGAAGAUUCCCUUCCUAAAAAGGAGUGUGGCGUUUAAGGAAAGCUUACUGUGAACCAGGAGCUUUACAUGGUAUUUCACUUAAUUUUCUUCUAAAAAAUGUAUUAUAUUCAUCUUUAAAAUAUGAAGCUGAAGCCUGGCUAUUAUUUAUUAAGCUCUUACUAUGUACAAUGCACUGAACUAAGCACUUUACAAGCAUUAUCUCAUUUUAUCCUCACAACAACCCUUUAAGUAGGUAUUACCAUCCCUAGUUUAGAUAUAAUACAAGUAUUAGCUGGGGUGACCCUUCCUUUUGAGAUCUAUAUAAGCUUGGUGUGACCCUCCACUUCAAGAAAAACCAUUGCUAGCCCCAUGGUUUCUAAAACUUCCUUAGGAGCUUACUUUCUCAUGGUUUCCCCUGUCUCUGAGCUCCUGCUUUCACUGAAUGUGUUUAUCUUAGUAACUGUCUGAUCAUUCCAUCUUUUCCCUUUUUUCAUUCAGUUCUACUCUAAACAUUGGGUCCAUUCCCUUUACUUAAUUCACACACAGACACAAAUCCAACCAAGCCAUUUGUGUUUACAGCAAAUUUUACUAAAGAUUUAGAAAGACAGAGUAGGUCUACAAUACAGUAUCAGAAGUAACUUGGAGCUAAUAUUAGUGCUCCCUGUUUCUAGAGUCCUUUUAGCCACCCCAACAUUCCAUGUAGCCCCAACAUUUCUUACUGGCUCCUGUUUCCCCUUCUCCCUACUCCUUCUCAUCAGGGCCAACAAUAAAUGAAUAAUUUCUCCCAUGUUCUUAUAGAAAAUGACUGGCCCUUCCUGUAUUCUACAUUUCCUUUCCAGACCCUUCUCUGAAGCCUAUAUUUUCAUAACCAAAUUAUCCAUUAAGGUAUUUUCCCAAAGAGUUAUGUCCCUAAGAGGAAUUC
RNAcentral lists this long non-coding RNA (2222 nucleotides) under Equus asinus (donkey). RNAcentral's name for it is "lncRNA (ENSEASG00005028154.1)". Lineage: Eukaryota; Metazoa; Chordata; Mammalia; Perissodactyla; Equidae. The record is from RNAcentral.